RNAcentral lists this long non-coding RNA (878 nucleotides) under Pogona vitticeps (central bearded dragon). RNAcentral's name for it is "lncRNA (ENSPVIG00000000205.1)". Lineage: Eukaryota; Metazoa; Chordata; Lepidosauria; Squamata; Agamidae. The record is from RNAcentral.
UGAAAAGCUUGUAAUCCUUUUGGAAGGAUUGCUUGGCUUUCCGGACUUCAUCGGAAAGUAAUUGUGGAUGGUGCGGUUGUUUUGACCUCUGCGGGUUGCAAUGGGGUUGUGCGGGGCGGAGCGGGGGGAGGGGGAGAGAAAGCACGAGAGCGAGCGAGGCGAGGCGCUCGGCCGUUGCAACCCUUGCCGGCGCGUGCAUCUCUUUGGGGGGGGGGAAGAGGUGUGCGUGCGUGUGCACGCACACACACACAUACAGCGCGCACACAGCGAUUAAUUUUUCAGCCACUCAAACUUGACGUGAUAUUUUCGAGGGGGUAACACCCGUGAUUUCAUUAGACUUUUAAAAAAAGAAAAAAAAAACACGCGAAGAAAAAGCAGCAAGCAGCCGCCGCCUCCUCGGCGUUACUCCUUCCUCCCCCUCCCCCUCCUCCCUUCCCCCCCCGCCUUCUUCUCCAUUGAGGACAGGCCGCGACGGUGCAGCCGACGGAGGAGCCGGGCGCGCGAGAUGCUCUUUUGUGCCGGCAGCGGCGGCGGGGUUGCUAAAGACGAGAACCGGGGUGAUCCCCAGUGCUACUUCUCCUCCGACUUCUGCCAGCAGCCAACAGUCGGGCGCUAUUGCCCUAUGGAGAGCCAUUUCCUUUAGCCACUGGCAUCGAAAGGGAGCCUCGGCGCAGUGCCGAAGACCGCAUCCACAGAAAAACUUCACAGUCUUCAAGAGCAAUCAGGGCAAAGCGGUGUCAUUCUGUGGUCUUAAGCAUUGGUGGGAGGGGGUGGAGAGAGAGAAGCCGGCCACAUUAGAACAGCUUAAGGAGAUGGCUUUAAAAGGCAGGCACACUUUAAACGGAACUCCUGCCCUGUGCAACUGGCAGAUGGGCUAG